CCCAGCUGUGGGCAGCUGCCUGGGCUGCAUUGUACCUAAACAAGUGCUACACUGCUGGGAGAAAAACAGCUAAUAGCUGGUGGGCAUCCUGGGUCUGGUUAAUGCCAAAUCUG
This is a small nucleolar RNA of Ochotona princeps (American pika), 113 nucleotides long. Its record names the gene SNORA74. It matches the Rfam family "Small nucleolar RNA SNORA74". Rfam says of the family: U19 belongs to the H/ACA class of snoRNAs. snoRNAs bind a number of proteins (including dyskerin, Gar1p and Nop10p in the case of the H/ACA class) to form snoRNP complexes. This class are thought to guide the sites of modification of uridines to pseudouridines by forming direct base pairing interactions with substrate RNAs. NCBI's taxonomy places the organism in Eukaryota, Metazoa, Chordata, Mammalia, Lagomorpha, Ochotonidae. The record is from Ensembl.